ACGAACGCUGGCGGCGUGCUUAACACAUGCAAGUCGCACGGAAAGGCCUUUUCGGAGGUACUCGAGUGGCGAACGGGUGAGUAACACGUGGGUGAUCUGCCCUGCACUCUGGGAUAAGCCUGGGAAACUGGGUCUAAUACCGGAUAGGACCGCACUUUAGUGUGUGUGGUGGAAAGUUUUUUCGGUGUAGGAUGAGCCCGCGGCCUAUCAGCUUGUUGGUGGGGUAAUGGCCUACCAAGGCGGCGACGGGUAGCCGGACUGAGAGGUUGGUCGGCCACAUUGGGACUGAGAUACGGCCCAGACUCCUACGGGAGGCAGCAGUGGGGAAUAUUGCACAAUGGGCGCAAGCCUGAUGCAGCGACGCCGCGUGGGGGAUGACGGCCUUCGGGUUGUAAACUCCUUUCGCCAGGGACGAAGCGUUUUGUGACGGUACCUGGAGAAGAAGCACCGGCUAACUACGU
This 461-nucleotide ribosomal RNA is filed under the name uncultured bacterium. Its description in RNAcentral is "partial 16S ribosomal RNA". It matches the Rfam family "Bacterial small subunit ribosomal RNA", at positions 29 to 506 of the family's 1533-position model. The record is from RNAcentral.